RNAcentral lists this ribosomal RNA (482 nucleotides) under uncultured bacterium. RNAcentral describes it as "partial 16S ribosomal RNA". It matches the Rfam family "Bacterial small subunit ribosomal RNA", at positions 28 to 507 of the family's 1533-position model. The record is from RNAcentral.
GAUGAACGCUAGCGGCAGGCCUAAUACAUGCAUGUCGGACGGGAUUCAGGAGCUUGCUUCUGAUGAGAGUGGCGCACGGGUGCGUAACACGUAUGUAACCUACCUUUAUCAGGGGGAUAGCCUCUCGAAAGAGAGAUUAAGCCCGCAUAAAAUCACAGCACAGCAUUGUGUAAUGAUCAAAUAUUUAUAGGAUAAAGAUGGGCAUGCGGAACAUUAGCUAGAUGGCGGGGUAACGGCCCACCAUGGCGACGAUGUUUAGGGGAUCUGAGAGGAUGGCCCCCCACACUGGUACUGAGACACGGACCAGACUCCUACGGGAGGCAGCAGUAAGGAAUAUUGGUCAAUGGGCGGAAGCCUGAACCAGCCAUGCCGCGUGCAGGAAGACGGCCCUACGGGUUGUAAACUGCUUUUAUACGGGAAUAAACCCAGAUACGUGUAUCUGGCUGAAUGUACUGUAAGAAUAAGGAUCGGCUAACUCCGUG